Molecule: ribosomal RNA, 407 nt
Filed under: uncultured bacterium
Lineage: Bacteria
Description: partial 16S ribosomal RNA
Rfam family: Bacterial small subunit ribosomal RNA
Source: RNAcentral
AUUGAACGCUAGCGGGAUGCCUUACACAUGCAAGUCGAACGGAGUGGCGAACGGGUGAGUAAUGCAUCGGAACGUGCCCAGUAGCGGGGGAUAACUACGCGAAAGCGUAGCUAAUACCGCAUACUAUUGGAGCGGCCGAUGUCGGAUUAGCUAGUUGGUGGGGUAACGGCCUACCAAGGCGACGAUCCGUAUCUGGUCUGAGAGGAUGACCAGCCAAACUGGGACUGAGACACGGCCCAGACUCCUACGGGAGGCAGCAGUGGGGAAUUUUGGACAAGGGGCGAAACCCUGAUCCAGCCAUCCCGCGUGUGCGAAGAAGGCCUUCGGGUUGUAAAGCACUUUUGGCAGGAAAGCGGUACCUGCAGAAUAAGCACCGGCUAACUACGUGCCAGCAGCCGCGGUAAUAC